ACCAGAAUGCCUAUAAAUAAAAACCUAAUGGCUAGAAGUCUCCUACCAACCCUCAGAUAACGUUCAUCAUUUGGUCUUGAAUUUCCCAUAAGAUUUUUGCCUUAACUUGCUCGAAUAUGGGUAAUCUCAAGAAGCUGAUAUUCAUGCUCAACUUUGCUUUGCUUUUUGCGCUCCUCAUCUCCACCAAAGUGGCUUCAAGAGAACCUUUUGGGGCGUCAAGGAUUCACAUAACGGCACGGGAUAUAGCAAAGGGCCACAAUUAUACUCCUGGUAGUUGUAAUUGAUCAGCAUCCGGAAGUCCCAUUCGAAAUCAACUCCUCGAGCAAGAGAAAGCUGAACGAUACUUUCACAAAUGUGUAAUGCUGAUUUAUUGUGCUUGUUACUAGUAGUAACAACAUCGGUUGUUUUCUGGUGUAAUUUUAAUUGUCCCAUUGGAUUUACAAAUUUUUAUUUAACAUUAUCUAUGUGAAAAUUUUGUUAGUCGACGAUUUAUAAGUACUCUUACAAGUGUUUCAUCAAA
Molecule: long non-coding RNA, 520 nt
Organism: Prosopis cineraria
Lineage: Eukaryota; Viridiplantae; Streptophyta; Magnoliopsida; Fabales; Fabaceae
Exons: 2
Source: RefSeq, a predicted model, not a curated record